AUUGAACGCUGGCGGCAUGCCUUACACAUGCAAGUCGAACGGCAGCACGGGUGCUUGCACCUGGUGGCGAGUGGCGAACGGGUGAGUAAUACAUCGGAACAUGUCCUGUAGUGGGGGAUAGCCCGGCGAAAGCCGGAUUAAUACCGCAUACGAUCUACGGAUGAAAGCGGGGGACCUUCGGGCCUCGCGCUAUAGGGUUGGCCGAUGGCUGAUUAGCUAGUUGGUGGGGUAAAGGCCUACCAAGGCGACGAUCAGUAGCUGGUCUGAGAGGACGACCAGCCACACUGGGACUGAGACACGGCCCAGACUCCUACGGGAGGCAGCAGUGGGGAAUUUUGGACAAUGGGCGAAAGCCUGAUCCAGCAAUGCCGCGUGUGUGAAGAAGGCCUUCGGGUUGUAAAGCACUUCUGUCCGGAAAGAAAUCCUUGGCUCUAAUACAGUCGGGGGAUGACGGUACCGGAAGAAUAAGCACCGGCUAACUACGUG
This 486-nucleotide ribosomal RNA is filed under the name uncultured bacterium. Its description in RNAcentral is "partial 16S ribosomal RNA". It matches the Rfam family "Bacterial small subunit ribosomal RNA", at positions 30 to 507 of the family's 1533-position model. The record is from RNAcentral.